UACGGAGGGGGCUAGCGUUGUUCGGAAUUACUGGGCGUAAAGCGCACGUAGGCGGACCUACACGUCGGGGGUGAAAUCCCGGGGCUCAACCCCGGAACUGCCUCCGAAACUGUGGGUCUGGAGGUCGAGAGAGGCGAGUGGAAUUCCGAGUGUAGAGGUGAAAUUCGUAGAUAUUCGGAGGAACACCAGUGGCGAAGGCGGCUCGCUGGCGCGAUACUGACGCUGAGGUGCGAAAGCGUGGGGAGCAAACAGG
Molecule: ribosomal RNA, 253 nt
Filed under: uncultured bacterium
Lineage: Bacteria
Description: partial 16S ribosomal RNA
Rfam family: Bacterial small subunit ribosomal RNA
Source: RNAcentral